RNAcentral lists this long non-coding RNA (353 nucleotides) under Elaeis guineensis (African oil palm). RNAcentral's name for it is "long non-coding RNA (EGUI_LNC006737)". The record is from RNAcentral. Lineage: Eukaryota; Viridiplantae; Streptophyta; Magnoliopsida; Arecales; Arecaceae.
UCGGAGUUGCCCGGCUCGCAGUACUGCUCGACUCUAGUCGAUGGUAGGCCGAUUUCGAGCGGGAUCAUCGCCUCCGUCCCAUAGGCCAAGCUGAAAGGAGAUUCCUCGGUCGGGACUCGGGGUGUCGUUCGGUACGCCCACAAGACAGAAUUCAAUUCCCCGACCCAGAGGCCUUUGGUUUCGUUCAGUCGGAUCUUCAGUCCAUGCAGAAUGGUUCGGUUGGUUACUUCGAUCUCGUCGUUAGACUGUGAAUGUCCGAUCGAGGUCAGUCUGUGCGUGAUGUGAAAUCUCGCACAGAACUCUCGAAAGUCUCGGUUGUCGAAUUGUCGUCCAUUGGGAUCGUCCGUCGGUCG